Molecule: ribosomal RNA, 603 nt
Filed under: uncultured fungus
Lineage: Eukaryota; Fungi
Description: eukaryotic LSU rRNA
Rfam family: Eukaryotic large subunit ribosomal RNA
Source: RNAcentral
ACCCGCUGAACUUAAGCAUAUCAAUAAGCGGAGGAAAAGAAACCAACAGGGAUUGCCCUAGUAACGGCGAGUGAAGCGGCAACAGCUCAAAUUUGAAAUCUGGCGUCUUUGGCGUCCGAGUUGUAAUUUGCAGAGGGCGCUUUGGCAUUGGCAGCGGCCCAAGUUCCUUGGAACAGGACGUCACAGAGGGUGAGAAUCCCGUACGUGGUCGCUAGCCUUUACCGUGUAAAGCCCCUUCGACGAGUCGAGUUGUUUGGGAAUGCAGCUCUAAAUGGGAGGUAAAUUUCUUCUAAAGCUAAAUAUUGGCCAGAGACCGAUAGCGCACAAGUAGAGUGAUCGAAAGAUGAAAAGCACUUUGGAAAGAGAGUUAAAAAGCACGUGAAAUUGUUGAAAGGGAAGCGCUUGCAGCCAGACUUGCCUGUAGUUGCUCAUCCGGGUUUCUACCCGGUGCACUCUUCUAUAGGCAGGCCAGCAUCAGUUUGGGCGGUUGGAUAAAGGUCUCUGUCAUGUACCUCUCUUCGGGGAGAACUUAUAGGGGAGACGACAUGCAACCAGCCUGGACUGAGGUCCGCGCAUCUGCUAGGAUGCUGGCGUAAUGGCUGU